AGAGAUUUAAGUUAAUACAAGACUCAGAGCCUUCAAAGCCCUAAGAGAGGGUUAAAGUCCCUUAAUCUCUG
This 71-nucleotide transfer RNA is filed under the name Neosynchiropus moyeri (Moyer's dragonet). Its description in RNAcentral is "tRNA-Trp". It matches the Rfam family "tRNA". Rfam says of the family: Transfer RNA (tRNA) molecules are approximately 80 nucleotides in length. Their secondary structure includes four short double-helical elements and three loops (D, anti-codon, and T loops). Further hydrogen bonds mediate the characteristic L-shaped molecular structure. tRNAs have two regions of fundamental functional importance: the anti-codon, which is responsible for specific mRNA codon recognition, and the 3' end, to which the tRNAs corresponding amino acid is attached (by aminoacyl-tRNA synthetases). tRNAs cope with the degeneracy of the genetic code in two manners: having more than one tRNA (with a specific anti-codon) for a particular amino acid; and 'wobble' base-pairing, i.e. permitting non-standard base-pairing at the 3rd anti-codon position. The record is from RNAcentral. Lineage: Eukaryota; Metazoa; Chordata; Actinopteri; Syngnathiformes; Callionymidae.